RNAcentral lists this ribosomal RNA (647 nucleotides) under uncultured Porphyromonadaceae bacterium. RNAcentral's name for it is "bacterial SSU rRNA". It matches the Rfam family "Bacterial small subunit ribosomal RNA", at positions 72 to 715 of the family's 1533-position model. Lineage: Bacteria; Pseudomonadati; Bacteroidota; Bacteroidia; Bacteroidales; Porphyromonadaceae. The record is from RNAcentral.
UAAAGUAGCAAUACUUUGGUGGCGACCGGCGCACGGGUGAGUAACGCGUAUGCAACCUCCUUUUAAGAGGGGAAUAACCCGGCGAAAGUCGGACUAAUACUUCAUAAAACAGGGACACCGCAUGGUGAUAUUUGUUAAAGAACUUCGCUGAUAGAUGGGCAUGCGUUCCAUUAGGUAGUUGGUGAGGUAACGGCUCACCAAGCCGACGAUGGAUAGGGGAACUGAGAGGUUGGUCCCCCACACUGGUACUGAGACACGGACCAGACUCCUACGGGAGGCAGCAGUGAGGAAUAUUGGUCAAUGGGCGAGAGCCUGAACCAGCCAAGUCGCGUGAAGGAAGAAGGAUCUAUGGUUCGUAAACUUCUUUUGCAGGGGAAUAAAGUGCAGGACGUGUCCUGUUUUGUAUGUACCCUGAGAAUAAGGAUCGGCUAACUCCGUGCCAGCAGCCGCGGUAAUACGGAGGAUCCGAGCGUUAUCCGGAUUUAUUGGGUUUAAAGGGUGCGUAGGUGGUUUGAUAAGUCAGCGGUGAAAGUUUGCAGCUUAACUGUAAAAAUGCCGUUGAAACUGUCGGACUUGAGUGUAAAUGAGGUAGGCGGAAUGCGUGGUGUAGCGGUGAAAUGCUUAGAUAUCACGAAGAACUCCGAUUG